CAAUAGCGUAUAUUUAAGUUGUUGCAGUUAAAAAGCUCGUAGUCGGAUUUUGGCUGAGAACGAUCGGUCCGCCGUUAGGUGUGCACUGAUUGGUCUCAGCUUCCUGGUGAGGAGGUGUGCUUCACGGCCACUUAGUCACCGUGGUUACUUUGAAAAAAUUAGAGUGUUCAAAGCGGGCUUACGCUUGAAUAUAUUAGCAUGGAAUAACACCAUAGGACUCCUGUCCUAUUUCGUUGGUCUCGGGACGGGAGUAAUGAUUAAGAGGAACAGUUGGGGGCAUUCGUAUUUCACUGUCAGAGGUGAAAUUCUUGGAUUUAUGAAAGACGAACUUCUGCGAAAGCAUUUGCCAAGGAUGUUUUCAUUGA
This 365-nucleotide ribosomal RNA is filed under the name uncultured eukaryote. RNAcentral's name for it is "partial 18S ribosomal RNA". It matches the Rfam family "Eukaryotic small subunit ribosomal RNA", at positions 592 to 976 of the family's 1831-position model. The record is from RNAcentral.